Long non-coding RNA from Neopelma chrysocephalum (saffron-crested tyrant-manakin), 558 nucleotides. RefSeq lists it as uncharacterized. The record is from RefSeq and is a predicted model, not a curated record. The transcript has 4 exons. Lineage: Eukaryota; Metazoa; Chordata; Aves; Passeriformes; Pipridae.
UGUACAUAGGAAAGGGUCAGUGUAACAGUUCCCUUCUUCACAUUUCCAAGAGUCCAAAAGCUGCAAAAGCCACACCCAUUCAAGAUCUCUCCUCAUCUUCCUAUCUGUUUAAAAUCUGCAUCUUCUGAAAGACUUUAAUGCUCCUUCUGCUACCUGGAUAUCUAGUUUAACACCAUUGGCUUCUCAAAUGUCAUGCUUAAAAUAGGUUUUAACUUUCUAAUACUGAGUGAAUACUGUUGGAGAUUCAGAAAAUCCACAGUUUGAAUGGACUUCUUGUUCAUCUUACAGAACCUCAGGUUUAACUCAAUGAAGCUGAUGACCUGGUAACCUUUGUGGUGUCCUGAUAGUCUCCAGAAUGCAAACCUUCAAACAGAGAUGCUGAAAAGUAAAAUUAUUCAUCAAAUCUAAAGAGCAGAUGAGAAGUCGCUCAAAGGAGAAGACAAUUGUAUGGAGCAAAAUGCAGACAAUUGGAAUGAAUACACGAUACUGUACACUGAUCCACUUUUCUUUGUUUUCUCUUUCCAUGAUAACGAAAUCAAACAGCCUUAUGGACAAUGG